Molecule: long non-coding RNA, 1107 nt
Organism: Polyodon spathula (Mississippi paddlefish)
Lineage: Eukaryota; Metazoa; Chordata; Actinopteri; Acipenseriformes; Polyodontidae
Exons: 3
Source: RefSeq, a predicted model, not a curated record
UAAAGGGCGAGUUAGCAGGGGAAGACUGUAAAUUACCGCAUAUGAUAAACACAAUUUAGUUUUUUACUGGACUACAAAAACUUUACUAUUUCUCGAUUGAGAAGAAAAAUUGAGGAAAAUGAAACUAGCUACACUUUUUAAUAAUGUACAGAAUUUAUCGUGUGUCAAAAAUCUGUGGGAGUGAGGGCAUUAUUUCGCCGCACUGGGAAAAAAAAAAAAAAACAUUGCUUGUUGUUUACUUUUUUCAAUUCAGCGUCGUAGAACGAAACAAUACUAUUGUCAUUAGCAACAAUACAGACUGCAAUACAUUGCUUAUUUGUAUAACGAUAAAAAAAGAGAAAUCAUUUUAUAUUGAAAUAAAACAGCAUGCUCAGACAGGCAGGCAGUUUAAUCUGAAUAAAAGGCUACUUUUGUAAAUCUGAGGGAACAGAAAGUAGGCGUAAUUUGAUUUUAUAUCUAUAUAUCACUAAUUGUGUUAAUCACAAACUCGAGCUAAAGUUAAAUGUAAACUAUCACGACAUCAAACAGCUCACGACGGAGUUUUCACGGUUUUUGAUUUCUCGUGAUCACAGGAUAUGUUCCAGUUUAAUAGUUAGUUCACUGUUGUGAGUUUAUUUUAAUUAGCGGCGGACGGUACGUUGUCCUUGACGGAACAAUAAGAACACCUGUCCGGGAAAUGCAAAACAUAAAGUGCUGACUUGAUCAUUAAUGUUUAAGAACCCCUCCAGUGGGCCAGGCUCCAGACUGAGCUUUCGAUCUGGCUGCAGGCUGCUGCUGAACCUGGUCAGGGAGCGGGACUCGUUUGUCUCCUCUCCAGAGAAGAUGAUAUCUCCCGUCACUGACCUGGCUAACAACUUCAGCAACCUUAGUGCAUUCCCAGGAGGAGCCAGGCUUCCAAACACAGGUCCAGGAAGGGGUUGUUCCGGUCUCCCUCAAUGCCUGAGAAGCUGAACCGGCUGAUGCUGAAGAAAGUGGGGCGGUCGCAGGAUGUGGAGACACCAUUGAAAGUCAAGCACCGGAAAAGCAUCAGCAGCCUCAUCCAGGAGGAGAGAGAGAGAGAGAGAGAGAGAGAGAGAGAGAGAGAGAGAGAGAGAGAGAGAGAGAGAG